This 5548-nucleotide unclassified non-coding RNA is filed under the name Hevea brasiliensis (rubber tree). The record is from RNAcentral. Lineage: Eukaryota; Viridiplantae; Streptophyta; Magnoliopsida; Malpighiales; Euphorbiaceae.
UAUCAAUCUAUGAUCGCUGAAGUGACUUGAAAAAUACACGAUAGGGAUCUUUACUAGCUCCUCCCACAUCAAUACUAAUCAACUUGUUGACAUCUAUAUCCUUGAUCAUUUUCAAAUGAGGAAAAAAAUGAAAAAAAAAUGGUGGGACUGUGGAGGGAUGAUAAUGAAUAAAUUAAUUAAAGUUUAGAGAAACGAAUGAAAACAACCUCUCAACGGCCACCUCUAUCUUCACAAAAAGUUAAAAACAAAAAUCAAACGAAAAUGGAGGGAAGGAAGAGGCUGAGGUGCAACAGAUUGUAUUUCUUCAUCAAGCAAAAUGUUCCACCACCAACUUUCCACUACAUCACCCAAAGGUAAGCAACCAAUACCAACUUUCUCCCUUCAUUGCUUUUCCUUUUUCUUCAAGUAAAUCUCUCCUCACCUCUUCAAUUUUCAGGUUGUUGAAAGAUGUAGUUGAGUAUUCUCCUCAUCUACCUUACCUAGUUUGCUCAAUGCGUACUCAUCAGAUCAUUCUCUUAGUAUCAGCUCUUCUCUUUUUUGCAGACUAUACUUCAUAAUCUUUUCUAUUUUCACAAUAUUUUUCUUCAGCCAAAAACUCUAGAGCUUAGCCUAAUCUGCACUGAUUUCUGCCGAGUGAUCAGUUGAGUCAAGAAACAUCUCUUACUCCCAGGGUUUCCAUGAAAUAUCUCUAUCCAGUUGUCUGUUCCAGAUAAUUCAAUUCAUUUAAAUCCUGAAAACAGAGGUUAAUUCCAUACAAGGAAGAAACAUUAUGCCUUUUGGGUUGGUCUCCUCGUGGAAGAAGCGCCGGAGAAGCAAGUCCCAAGAUCACACAGAUCCCUGUACAUUCUUCUUCUAUUUCUUCAUUUGAUAGCAUAAAAAUAAGUUCCUCACCAUGUUCUUUCAACCUAUUUUUUCCAUAAGUAGUUUCAUAGUUUGAAUGUGCGCCUACCUUAUUUCCAGGGGUUUAUAAACCUGUAGAGUUUUGGCAACUCAAGGAUCAAACUCCCCAGGCAACAAAACGACAGCAUGGAUCUUCAGUUUUCACACUCAAGGAAAUGGAGGAGGCAACUGGCUCUUUUAGUGAUGAACAAAUGCUUGGAAAAGGAGGAUUUGGUAGAGUUUACCGGGGCACUCUGCGGUCAGGAGAGGUAUGUUGGAGCAAUGGAUUGUCAUUUACAGCAACAAAAUUGAUGAAAAUGAAAUAAUUCACAAAUAUAGUCUAAAAUUCAGAACACCCCAAAUAGACGAACAACACUAAUAUAAUUUUGUUUCAGAACAAAAAUUUCAGUGAAUCGAUUAAAUUCCAGAAUAUAAAACAGGAAAAUAGUUAAGAGUUGUUAAUCAUCAAUACCACAUAAUAGGAAUACAAACGAACUUGCUUCUCUUCUGCAAUAUAAAGGUUGUAGCAAUCAAGAAAAUGGAGUUGCCACCAUUUAAAGAAGCUGAAGGAGAACGAGAGUUUCGUGUAGAAGUUGAUAUCUUGAGCAGGCUCAACCACCCAAAUCUGGUAUCCUUGAUAGGAUAUUGCGCUGAUGGGAAGCACAGGUUUCUAGUGUAUGAAUAUCUGCAAAAUGGGAAUCUGCAAGAUCACUUAAAUGGUUGGUAUUACUCAAAAUCCUUUUCUCAUGUUAAACUUAUUAAAUUGUCACAUCUAGCAAUUGCAAAUUUUUCUAGGAAUUGGGAAUGCAAAAAUGGAUUGGCCCUUGAGGCUUAAAGUGGCACUUGGAGCAGCAAGGGGACUCGCUUAUCUCCAUUCCAGUUCUGCAGUUGGGAUUCCAAUUGUUCACAGAGAUUUUAAAUCCACUAAUGUUCUCCUAAAUGCCAAUUUUGAUGCCAAGGUAAAUAACCUUGAAGCUUUUUGUACUCUCAACUGAAACUCAUCAAAAGUUUCACUCCCACAUAACCAGGGAACUUUCUUAAAAAAUACAGCUAAUAAAUAGUUCUAAACCCAAUAUAAUGAAAAUUUGUAGCUAAACUUCAUAUUUUUAUUUUUCAUAGAUUUCUGAUUUUGGGCUUGCUAAGUUGAUGCCAGAGGGCCAUGAGACAUAUGUGACAGCUAGGGUUCUGGGCACAUUUGGCUAUUUUGACCCGGAGUAUACAUCGACAGGGAAACUCACUUUACAAAGUGAUGUUUAUGCAUUUGGAGUGGUUCUUCUUGAGCUUUUGACAGGACGCAGAGCUGUAGACUUAAGUCAGGGACCAACUGAUCAAAACCUUGUACUACAGGUUAGGCAUAUACUGAAUGAUCGGAAGAAGUUACGUAAGUUGAUAGAUCCAGAUCUAAGUCGGAAUUCAUACACAAUGGAAUCUAUAGCCAAGUUCGCAAACCUGGCAUCACGUUGUGUCCGUAUUGAGAGCAGCGAGAGACCCUCCAUGACUGAAUGCGCAAAAGAACUCCAAAUGAUAAUCUAUACAAAUUCAAUAGCCUUGGGCACACCAUUGCGUACAUUCAAAAUGGUCAAAUAGCCCCUGACGUAUUAUCAGCAGACAAACUGUUUACAUCAGUGGUAAAGGUUCUUUAUUUUCUUUCAUUUGGUUGCUGAAUUGGAAGCUGUGGCACCUAGGAUUUUAAAAAAUACAACAGAGACGGAUGCAUAGUAAGAAAGAAAUCUAGUAAUUGUUAGUGAUACAAGAAAUAAAAUGAAGAUCUAGGAGGAGGAUUUUUCAGCUACGAGCUUGAACCUUAAAAAUAGAAAUUAAGAGGACCACAUCCAGAAGGAAACAUUCACUUGUAUGUAUCGCUAGUGUAGCAUCAACAUCUUAGUUCAGAUUUUUUUUCCCCACUUAUUAAAGACUUCUAUAUGAAUAUCACAUGCUGCUCUAAAACAAGAAACCUGCCUUUUGCAAUAAAAGCUAGAUCUUCUCUCAAUGAGUUUUUGGAACCAUCUCUAGAGGCACUAUUGUUCUUUUCCUCUUUACUUUGUUUCUCAUCUCCAUCCAAGCUCUUACUCUUUUUAUUUUCAAAUAAUAUACAAAUAUUCUAUAAAGUUUUGACUUUUGAGUGUAAAUUGCUUGCAAGAAAAAGGAGAUGCCUGGUCAAAUUAUCUGUGGCACAACAGGUUUGUACCAUAAUUACAAAAAAUUACUAGCAAGAAGACAUCACCUAAUCAGAUCGACUUCCUAGCAUAAUCAACCUGAUUGGAUGAUCACCAAAACCCAGUCCGACAAUAUCCUGAAGAACUUGGACCUUAGAAACAUAUAUCAUGGCAUCUGUGUAUCCAAUUUUGAACAGAGUUCCAUGUCACAAUCCAAGAAAUCAAGUUCUGAAGGAUUCUUUAAGAUUGGAAGUUUCUUGCACAUCAAAUGUUUGCGUCUCUGCAACAUUAACAUGACCAAUAUACUAUCUGUCUUAACAACGUUGUAGCCUGCUUUUGUAUACAUAUUAAAGGGGGCCGAAUCAAUCAUUCUGCAAUGCAAAUACACCUCUCUUAAGCAACUCAUCUGAUAAAUUAAUUGCUCACUUGCCUUCAGAAGACUCCAACCAAUGCCUCCCUUUGAAGUUCCUCAGAUAUACGCUCAGAAAUCUAGUCUAGUUCAAUACAUUGUACAGAAAUGCUUCAAGUUCCAAAGCUGGUAUGGUAUCUUAAGAGUCAUGGUGUAGAAAGUUAAAUAAUAAUAGAGAACAUAAAAUUAAUGAUGCUGAAUGAUGGUGAUGGGUAGAUCAUGGCAACAUCAUCAAGUGCAUAACAUGUUGCCAUAAGGGCUGUCAAUGGUGAACCACAAGUUCUCUAUAAUCAUAAAAUUAUCAUUUAAUCAUAUUGAGCUCUUACUACAAUUCUCUCCAUAAAGAAUAUGUCAGUUAGAUUCAUUAUUUGUAUAGUUAUUUGAUCUUACAUUUUUGCCGUUUUACUUUCAAUAGGACUCAAGAACCGAAAUUAAUAAGGUAGAUAACCAAAUCUUAGCAUCAGCGCUCGACUGCUAGUGUAAGUUAGAAUUUUGAACGACUAUCCUAAAAUCUUCUAAAUUCUUGAUACCCUACAAUAUAUCAACUACUUGGAUGAAUACUUAAUCAACCUCCUUAAGUGAUUAUUUUUCAUAUUUUGAUUUAUUCGCACUUUCAUAGAUCGUUAUCCUUUCUACCAGGACUGAGAGCUAAAAAUUAAUCAUUUCCAUUGGAAAUAGAAUGACUCGUUAUUCACCACUUUGGUAAAAAGAAAUGCUUAAUUCUUGCAAAGCAGUUCAUGAUGUCAACUAGAAAUGUGCAAUUAGCCAAGACAAGAAAAGCAAUAAACAAGACAUACUAACGAAGUGGCUCCUUAACAGUCAUGUUGCAAAUGUAAGGAUAAUUCUUGGGAGGAGUUGGUGUAGGAGGAGAAGCAUUAGCACCCUUCUUAUCAAAACAAACCUCCACGGCCCCUGGCAGCUCCUCCUCCUCCUCUUCCCCAUCUCCAUCACCCUCAUGUUUCCCUCUAUAAAACCCAACAAGUGUAACAGCAUGUGGCAUCACAGCUCUCCUCUCAAUCAAGUAUUGCUUUACCAGAAACAUUAACAAAGACACAUACCCCACAGGCAACAACAUAGACUCAGCAAAAGACUCAGCCAGCAAUUUAACAGUGAUAUCCAUCUCCUCUGGCCUCAUCACCCUAACCCACAUCGACCCAGUUUCCAGUUCUUGAUAGUAUCUAAAAUUCUGAAGGUUCUGAAGCUUCUCAAUCUCUUCAUUGCUCAAAAACCUCCCUACUUUGAAUGAAUCCUCAAGAUUUGAAUAGGUAGCCGAAGCACUAGUUGUUUCUGUUGUUGUUGAAGAAGAGGGGUGCGACGAGGAAGAAGAGGAGGAUUUGAAAUUGAAACGGUACGAUUUGUGGAAAGGUAAAAAUGUGCGUUUAUGAUUUGGAGAUAAGAAAAAGAAGGGUAGUCUUUGAUGGGGUUGUGGAUCGGAGGAGAGAGUGAGAGAAAAUGAGAGUGAUGCAGCCAUAGAAAGACUGACUUCAGUUCAUCAGUUCUUGGAUUAAUCGGAUGAGAUAACUGGAAACAUCAUCCUCCCGGUUAAGUGGCAGAUUUGUCUUUCACAAGAUCCCAGAUUUUUAUAGUUUAUGAGAUUUUUUUGAAUCAUUUAAUGAACUAUCAACAAAAUAACCCCAAAAAUUCUGAAAUUGUAAACCUUUUGUUUCUUUAUAUGCCAUGCAAUGACCUUUUUGUCCAAAGUGAGGAACUAGUUGCAAGUAAAACAAUUAUGUCACCUCAUUUGCUUCUAUUUUCACCAGAGUUCUCUGAUACAGUCAUUGGAUUUUGCUCCCGAGGGGGUAGAAUUUUCCAGUUCGGAAAACAAAAAUAAAAUUAAAAGGCAGAGUGAUUGAAGCCAAAAUCCCAUCUUCCUCGAGGUAUUUGUUUGAAAACCAAGGGAUAUCUCUCAGCUCACAGGUCAACAUCUUUGAUGAAAUGCAAAAAUUGAAUGGAUUUUCAUGUGCAUUACAGGCCUUGGGUAUUCCUUUGGUUCAUAAUAACAUCAAUUUUUGCUUUUCGCUGGAAACAGUAAUUUUGAGAUGCGAGUUCAUAUUCUGCUCACAUUUGACACAGAAAAAUUAGCAGAGGAAAAUUUUCACCACCU